This is a long non-coding RNA of Papaver somniferum (opium poppy), 2291 nucleotides long. RefSeq lists it as uncharacterized. Lineage: Eukaryota; Viridiplantae; Streptophyta; Magnoliopsida; Ranunculales; Papaveraceae. The record is from RefSeq and is a predicted model, not a curated record. The transcript is spliced from 2 exons.
GUCUAAUGCUAAUGCUAAUGCAUCAUUGUAACAUAGGUCCAAAAUAAAAAUGAAGCUGUUUGAUAAAAAAAAAAACUUCUAAUGAACUUUAGUUAAUAGUAAAAUAAUACUAAGCUCAUCUGUAGGUGUAACUAGUUUAUCAAAUUCAUUUUUAUUGAAUGCUUUCCCAUGAAAGAACCGAUUCUUUUUCGAGUUUUCUUUCUUUCUUCUCCCUUUUCCUUCUGGUUUCUCCCUCUGCCAUGAGCGACUAAUAAGACGUUCAUAGGCUCUGAUGGUAGGGAAGCACUUAAAUCUCUAGUUCUUUUGCUCAACAGGGUCAUAUUUUAUUAGGGUUAGAUCUAAUUUUAUAUUUGAAGCUUGGUAGUGGUGGUGGCAGUCGAGAAAUUGUUCAGAAGCUUUGCAAAAUCUACACGGUUGCGUUUGAUUUUCAAUCUACUAUGUCAGGUUAUGCUUUCUUUUACCUGAAAUCUCUACAACAUUUUCUCACCAAAUUUCUUUCCUUACCAUUCUAAACUUUGAAGUAGCUUUUCAGCUGAGCCCUAGUAUCACCAUGAAAGUUGUUUGGCAUGGUGAUGUCUCACAGUCAACAAAACUUUUACAAGCCUCCCUGAGUCUGAGUAAUGGUAGGCAGUUUGCUUUAUAAGAAGUCAUUCCACCUAGGUUCAUGAACAAUGAACAACUGUGGACAAGCUGUCUGUUAGGGGUCUUUGUUGAACCAGUUGCUAGAAACAUCUGGGACGUUAGAAAUUCCCUUCUUUUUCAGUGGAAGAUUCAUGGAGGACUAUCAUUUAAACCAGUCAAUGACUGUAUGUUUCUGGAGAGAUUUGAAAGAGAAGAAGAAAUACAUAGAGUUAUAGAUGUGUCUACAAGAGUAGUCUAUGGUGAUUUAUUCUGCAUCAAAAAAUGGGAUAAAGCUGAGAGAAUUGUUGAUUGGGUUCCUACUGAAGAGAAGUUAUUUACCACAGUGCACAAUCUAACACUUGCUCAGGUGAAUAGUGACAACUUAAGAAGGUACAUAUCUUGCAUGGGAGAAAUCCUUUCCUUUUCUUAUCCUGUGAGAAAAGCAAAUGGGAGCUACUCUAUCACUAGUAGAGCCAACCUAAGAUUCAUACAAAGACUCAUUUUUAGUGUUUAUGCUGAAAAUGAGAUGGGAUACACUGAUGAAUUAACCUUUCAAUUCCAUCACUUUCCAAACAACUACUGUGGAUUCUGCAAGGUGAUUGGGCAUAAGUUGGAAAACUGCCAGCAGUUUGUGGUGUAUUAGCAGCAGAUUGAAGAGCAACAAGCUGAAACAGAUGUUGUAACGUCAGCUAUGCAAAAUAUUGAUGAACAUCAAAUGGAGAUUGAGAAUUUGCAAUAGCUAGCACAACAGAACAUGCAAUAUGAUAUGGAAGGUUUUGAUGAGGAUAGCUUAGCCAGUUCUGAUGCAGAGAAAGCAGCUUCUGUGAUUUCUUGCUCUGAUUACCUCAAGCAGUUUCAAGUGGAUCAUGAUAGUCAAGGAAGUUUUGUGGAGCCUCAACAAAAAAAAUGGUAAUAGGGAACAGACUAAUGAUUGUUCUCUAAAUGCAGCAGCUGGACCCUCUCAUGUUGAUAUUCAUAUUGCAGCAACACUUCCAUACCCAUAUGCUAACAGUGCCAACAAAGAUUCCUACAUGUGGAAGGUAUUCAAUAAAAGGGACAGACCUGGUAAUUGGAGUGUUUCUAUCUCAGCACAACAACCUCCCAAUAUGGAUUCAGCAUACAUCAGUAACUGUAAGCAAUGCAAUCUUUCUUCCAUUGGGAUGUGCCACUACCAGCUUCAAAGAAACUAAAGAUUUCUGAGAUAGAUUUAAGCUUCCAGCCACCACAAGUAUCUGAGAUUCCAAGAGACAUUCAUGUGAUUGAGGAUAAACAAGUGAACACUAGCAUCAGAUCACAUCCCCAUCAGUGGUUCAGUGGUGAAGGCUCUUAUGCAUCUCAGGCCAAUUUGGACCCUAAAGCAAAGGGAAAGGGAGUUGCAAAAAUGGGCUGAUGAUUCUAUGACCCUAAUGAAUAACAGAAGACUAUGAGUACCACAGUGUAGACUUACUCAUCAGAGCAUAUGGCUCUUUUUCUUGAUAGUUUUUUGGUUUUCAGUUUGCUUUUUAUGUUAGUAUCCGUUAUCUUUCUGUGCAGUUAUCCUGUUGUAAUUUGUUCUUUGUGUUCUUGUUAGUGUAAUAGUUGUGUCAUGUAUAAUAAUCUGUGUCCUGAUUUGUGUCCUGUAAAUCUUAAGCUCUUCUGUAGCUAUCUGCUUUAUUUCCAUUUUUGCUUAG